RNAcentral lists this unclassified non-coding RNA (2510 nucleotides) under Priapulus caudatus. RNAcentral's name for it is "acyl-CoA-binding domain-containing protein 5-like, transcript variant X3". The record is from RNAcentral. Lineage: Eukaryota; Metazoa; Priapulida; Priapulimorpha; Priapulimorphida; Priapulidae.
CAACCCUGGGAAAAUGGCGUCGUCCGUCGAACAGAGAUUUCAGGCUGCGGUUGAUGUUAUUCGUAAUUUGCCCAAAAAUGGCUCGUAUAAGCCCUCAAAUGAGAUGAUGCUCAAGUUCUACUCAUAUUUCAAGCAGGCAACAGAAGGUCCAUGUAAUAUCCCACGACCAGGAUUCUGGGAAGUAGUUAACAAGGCUAAAUGGGAAGCAUGGCAUUCACUUGGGGACAUGCCACAGGAAACUGCAAUGGAGAAAUACGUUGAAGACUUAAAACAGAUCGUCGAAACGAUGGCCUUUACUGACAAGGUAGCAGAUUUUCUCACUGUUGUUGGCCCCUUCUACAUUGAGGUGCCUCUUGGUGCGGAAGAUGCAUCAGACUCAGAAGAUAAGCUUGGUGUUCCCAUAAGAGAGAGGCUUGGAAAGGCAGAUUUCUUGCCAAUGGCUACGCCGACCCCCAUGCAGGAGACAGAUGAGUACGAUGAGCUAUGCAACGCGACGAUAGUGGACAGGGAGAUGUCCAGGAUGGAGUCUGAUAGUUGCCAUGCAAUGGCGAGCCCUCAUGUUAGCCCGUUGCAACGCGAAAUGGAAAGCAGCCCUGACCUUAGCGAUGACAGUGAUGGCAAGAAGCAGGAUGUGCUAAUUGGUGCAGGUGAACGCGGCACUCGAGUGAACGGUCACCAGUCGGACUCUGAUUCUGAGACAGACUACUGUGAUACACAAUCCGAGCCGGCAGCAGAACAAGAUUGUCAUCCUCCUCAUCAGGAGCAGCAGCAGGUCCUGACGAAAGCUUGUUUGGCAAGUUAUGAAAAUCGUAAUGGUGCAAUCCGUCCAAAUGGAGUGGAAUUGAUGCCGAACGAGAAGCAUUGCAAAAACAAUUCAGAGAGCGACGUUUGGAGUAAGCUAAGCAAAAGUAGAGCAAUUGAUUCUCCUGCGGUGGUGGUGCCAACUAAAUCUUUAAAUGGCAACGCAUUAAGUGUGGGUUCAAGUGCGAGAACGUUUGUGCCUAGCAUGCAUCUGAGUGGAAAGGAACAGGAUCAAGAUUGUUUAUCGUCAUCGGGCGAUGAUCUUUCAAGUGACUCUUCUGUGGCGUCUAGCAUGUCGAAUUCCAUAGAUGGCAGAAGGGCUCGUGCCGUGGAUGUUCGACCGUAUACGGCGCGUGGUGGGAGGAAUGAGGGUGAUGACAGCAGAUGGAGGCGGGGAACCGGAACGGGAGCCCAAAGCUCCGGGCAAGAAACGCCUUCAGCACAGGGUACAAGCCACGCCGGAGAAGCCACAACAGUCCCCUCAUCUUCGUCCGGGGCAGGAGGCGACGGAGGGCGAGGCUCGCGGGGUGCGGGCCGGACACAGGAGGAUGUCGGUGAACAAAUAGCGCUGACGCUGAUCAGGCUGCAGCAGGACAUGGAGAACGUGCUGGCGCGUCUCAGUGCGCUGGAAACGCUCAGCAUCACACAGCACAACUACCUGAUGCACGCCAACAACCACCAGAGUGCGGGAGCGCGGCAGCCGCAGGGUUCGCUGUGGUCGUGGCUUUUUCCGCGGUUACCGGCGAGGACGGUUGUGUUUAUGGUCGGCUGGCCCUUCGCUGCUUUCAUGCUACUCAAGUUCAUUCGGAGUCGGCAGAGAGUAAGGAGACUGAUGUGGGAAUAGUUUUGUGCCAAACAGAGAAAUGGGAAGAGAUGAAGACGCCAGCCAAUAACUGUGUUUUGCUGUACGGAAGUCAAAUUUCGGCCAUGCGAUGUCAGCAAACUUAAAUUAUAAGUUUAAUAUUUCUUUGUCAUCACGUUGGUACGGGUGUUAGUAUGCUAAAAUGUCUGCGAAUAGUGAACUUGUUUGAAACACAUGAAUGGUUUACUUACAAAUCAUUUAGUAAGGAGUUACGUUAAUGUAGAAUGUAAAGUUGUUGUGAGUUGUCAUGAUUAAUGUCGUGCAUGUUGCCAGUUGUUCGGUGAUAUUGGGUUUGAAAUUGUUAUUGCACGUAGACUUCAUAGCCACAUAUGGAGAGUUGAUCAUGGGUUCACAUUGUCAGUCAUAGCAUGGGCGUUUAGAUUAGGCUUGUUGUUUUAUGUUCAUUGUGUUUCGUAUACCUCCUAGUUGCUGCGCAGGCUAGAAAGUGUGAUUUUCCCCUGUCACGAUUGUAUAUGCUGUUUCAUGUAACUUUUGAGAUGAUGUUAUGGUGAUCCACUAUUUUAAUUGUUAAAGAUUUGUAUAAAUUUGUCGAUAUAGUUGUAUAUAAUGUACCAUUAAAUCAAAAUGCACAUAAAAGAGUAUUGUAAAUAAUUUCUGGUUGCAAGGUACAGUAUUACAAACAAAGUAUAAUUGCCCCUAUUAUUUCUAAAUAGAUGUAGCAGAAGAGACAAGUAAUUUUAUGUAGUAUAUUGUAAGUAGUUUUUAUGUCUAGUCUGCCUGGUUUAUUUAUUCAAUCAUAGCCUGAGGGGCACAAAGUUAUGAAAAGAUAAAUUUCAUCUUGUCAGUUAUUUAUGGUGAGGAAGAGAAUAAAAGACAUUCCAACUGA